RNAcentral lists this ribosomal RNA (452 nucleotides) under uncultured Sulfuricurvum sp. Its description in RNAcentral is "bacterial SSU rRNA". It matches the Rfam family "Bacterial small subunit ribosomal RNA", at positions 933 to 1382 of the family's 1533-position model. Lineage: Bacteria; Pseudomonadati; Campylobacterota; Epsilonproteobacteria; Campylobacterales; Sulfurimonadaceae. The record is from RNAcentral.
UGGAGCAUGUGGUUUAAUUCGAAGAUACACGAAGAACCUUACCUGGCCUUGACAUGGUAGGAACCUUAAGAGAUUAGGGGGUGCUAGCUUGCUAGAACCUACACACAGGUGCUGCACGGCUGUCGUCAGCUCGUGUCGUGAGAUGUUGGGUUAAGUCCCGCAACGAGCGCAACCCUCGUCCUUAGUUGCUAACAGUUCGGCUGAGCACUCUAGGGAGACUGCCUUCGCAAGGAGGAGGAAGGUGAGGACGACGUCAAGUCAUCAUGGCCCUUACGGCCAGGGCUACACACGUGCUACAAUGGGGCGUACAGAGAGCUGCGAUACCGCGAGGUGGAGCCAAUCUCUUAAAGCGUCUCUCAGUUCGGAUUGUUCUCUGCAACUCGAGAACAUGAAGCUGGAAUCACUAGUAAUCGCAGAUCAGCUAUGCUGCGGUGAAUACGUUCCCGGGUCUU